This 512-nucleotide ribosomal RNA is filed under the name uncultured bacterium. Its description in RNAcentral is "bacterial SSU rRNA". It matches the Rfam family "Bacterial small subunit ribosomal RNA", at positions 28 to 584 of the family's 1533-position model. The record is from RNAcentral.
AACGAACGCUGGCGGCAUGCCUAACACAUGCAAGUCGAACGCGUGUAGCAAUACACGAGUGGCGGACGGGUGAGUAACGCGUGGGAACCUGCCCAGUGGUAGGGAAUAACUGCGGGAAACUGCAGCUAAUACCCUAUGAGCCCUACGGGGGAAAGAUUUAUCGCCAUUGGAGGGGCCCGCGUCGGAUUAGCUAGUUGGUAGGGUAAUGGCCUACCAAGGCGACGAUCCGUAGCUGGUCUGAGAGGAUGAUCAGCCACACUGGGACUGAGAUACGGCCCAGACUCCUACGGGAGGCAGCAGUGGGGAAUAUUGGACAAUGGGGGAAACCCUGAUCCAGCAAUGCCGCGUGAGUGAAGAAGGCCUUAGGGUUGUAAAGCUCUUUCGGCGGGGAAGAUGGUGACGGUACCCGCAGAAGAAGCCCCGGCUAACUUCGUGCCAGCAGCCGCGGUAAUACGAAGGGGGCUAGCGUUGUUCGGAAUCACUGGGCGUAAAGGGCGCGUAGGCGGCUUGAC